This 1396-nucleotide ribosomal RNA is filed under the name unidentified marine bacterioplankton. Its description in RNAcentral is "bacterial SSU rRNA". It matches the Rfam family "Bacterial small subunit ribosomal RNA". The record is from RNAcentral.
CUAGUGAUUAGAGUUUGAUCAUGGCUCAGAUUGAACGCUGGCGGCAUGCCUUACACAUGCAAGUCGAACGGCAGCACGGGUGCUUGCACCUGGUGGCGAGUGGCGAACGGGUGAGUAAUACAUCGGAACAUGUCCUGUAGUGGGGGAUAGCCCGGCGAAAGCCGGAUUAAUACCGCAUACGAUCUACGGAUGAAAGCGGGGGACCUUCGGGCCUCGCGCUAUAGGGUUGGCCGAUGGCUGAUUAGCUAGUUGGUGGGGUAAAGGCCUACCAAGGCGACGAUCAGUAGCUGGUCUGAGAGGACGACCAGCCACACUGGGACUGAGACACGGCCCAGACUCCUACGGGAGGCAGCAGUGGGGAAUUUUGGACAAUGGGCGAAAGCCUGAUCCAGCAAUGCCGCGUGUGUGAAGAAGGCCUUCGGGUUGUAAAGCACUUUUGUCCGGAAAGAAAUCCUUGGCUCUAAUACAGUCGGGGGAUGACGGUACCGGAAGAAUAAGCACCGGCUAACUACGUGCCAGCAGCCGCGGUAAUACGUAGGGUGCGAGCGUUAAUCGGAAUUACUGGGCGUAAAGCGUGCGCAGGCGGUUUGCUAAGACCGAUGUGAAAUCCCCGGGCUCAACCUGGGAACUGCAUUGGUGACUGGCAGGCUAGAGUAUGGCAGAGGGGGGUAGAAUUCCACGUGUAGCAGUGAAAUGCGUAGAGAUGUGGAGGAAUACCGAUGGCGAAGGCAGCCCCCUGGGCCAAUACUGACGCUCAUGCACGAAAGCGUGGGGAGCAAACAGGAUUAGAUACCCUGGUAGUCCACGCCCUAAACGAUGUCAACUAGUUGUUGGGGAUUCAUUUCCUUAGUAACGUAGCUAACGCGUGAAGUUGACCGCCUGGGGAGUACGGUCGCAAGAUUAAAACUCAAAGGAAUUGACGGGGACCCGCACAAGCGGUGGAUGAUGUGGAUUAAUUCGAUGCAACGCGAAAAACCUUACCUACCCUUGACAUGGUCGGAAUCCCGCUGAGAGGUGGGAGUGCUCGAAAGAGAACCGGCGCACAGGUGCUGCAUGGCUGUCGUCAGCUCGUGUCGUGAGAUGUUGGGUUAAGUCCCGCAACGAGCGCAACCCUUGUCCUUAGUUGCUACGCAAGAGCACUCUAAGGAGACUGCCGGUGACAAACCGGAGGAAGGUGGGGAUGACGUCAAGUCCUCAUGGCCCUUAUGGGUAGGGCUUCACACGUCAUACAAUGGUCGGAACAGAGGGUUGCCAACCCGCGAGGGGGAGCUAAUCCCAGAAAACCGAUCGUAGUCCGGAUUGCACUCUGCAACUCGAGUGCAUGAAGCUGGAAUCGCUAGUAAUCGCGGAUCAGCAUGCCGCGGUGAAUACGUUCCCNGGGUCUUGUAGACACCGC